Nymphalis io (European peacock) is the source of this 625-nucleotide long non-coding RNA. RefSeq lists it as uncharacterized. The record is from RefSeq and is a predicted model, not a curated record. The transcript has 3 exons. NCBI's taxonomy places the organism in Eukaryota, Metazoa, Arthropoda, Insecta, Lepidoptera, Nymphalidae.
GCGUGAAUUACAUUAUCGAGUUUUAAAUCAACUGCUAUAAGUGUGAAGAAAAGCGCCAAGUUCACAUAUCAAAGAUUUUUAAGGAGCUCAUAUUAAUUGGUUGUACUAAAACUAAAAUCAGUACAGUAUUUAUGCCUAGGCCUAGAAGGCACCGACCAGUCUACUCAGACAAAAAAUAGGCGGAUCUCAAAAGUUAAAGGGCCUUGGAUCUCUAAUUCCGGGCCUGGCUAUAAUAUUAAAAGCUAACAGGACCGCCGUUCGUAAGCAAUAGAGCAUUACUAUGAAAACCAACACAAAUCUCAACACAAAAUACGAUCGUGAAAUGUUUGAAAUUAAUUGACUAUAACUUAAUUAAAAUAUUUUAAAAAUGAACGCACCGAAAUUGCAAUGUGGUCCUCAUAAACAUAUCAUAAAGAUAUUGUAUUUAUGGGCUAAAGCUUAUCUUGUUGAGAAGAAGGUUCAGACAUCAUUCCACCAGCUGCUCCAGUGUGUGUUGGUAGAAAAUAUAAUACAUUUUCAUCCAACUUCCUAUUAAAACCAAAGGAGAACCGCAUUAGCAUCAGUUCACGUAACGUAAAAGGUAUAUCAGUAAAAGAGUUUCAAAUACUAUUGUGAUAAAGUUUAA